AUUGAACGCUGGCGGCAGGCUUAACACAUGCAAGUCGAGCGCGAACGGUCCUUCGGGGCCUAUUAGAGCGGCGGACGGGUGAGUAAUGCAUGGGAAUCUGCCCAGUAGAGGGGGACAACAGCCGGAAACGGCUGUUAAUACCGCAUACGCCCUACGGGGGAAAGGCCGGGAUCUUCGGACCGGUCGCUAUUGGAUGAGCCCAUGUCGGAUUAGCUAGUUGGUGAGGUAAAGGCUCACCAAGGCGACGAUCCGUAGCUGGUCUGAGAGGAUGAUCAGCCACACUGGGACUGAGACACGGCCCAG
This 303-nucleotide ribosomal RNA is filed under the name uncultured bacterium. RNAcentral describes it as "bacterial SSU rRNA". It matches the Rfam family "Bacterial small subunit ribosomal RNA", at positions 30 to 334 of the family's 1533-position model. The record is from RNAcentral.